GAUUCUGACUGUGACUGGAGUUCAGACGUGUGCUCUUCCGAUCUGCGAGUGUUAGGGUGGAAAAACCCAAACGCAUACCGAAAGGGAUUUAAGAUGUGAAGCGAAAGCCGCAACAUCAACCAAUCUUGAUUCUUUGAAGAAGGACUUGAGUAAGAGCGUAAUUGGUAGGACCCGAAAGAUGGUGAACUACGGUUGAGUAGGGUGAAGCCAGGGGAAACUCUGGUGGAGGCUCGAAGCGUUACUAACGUGCAAAUUGUUCGUCAAACUUGACUGUAGGGGCGAAAGACUAAUCGAACCAUCUAGUAGCUGGUUCCCUCUGAAAUUUCUCUCAGGAUAGCAGGAACAGAUUAUGCAGUUUUAUCAGGUAAAGCUAAUGAUUAGUGGACUCGGGGGUCUGAGACUCUCGACCAAUUCUCAAACUUUAAAUUGGUAAGAACUUGUAGUUAUCUUCAUUGAACUGCAAGGUAGAAUGCAUUGUUCUUAGUGGGCCAUUUUUGGUAAGCAGAACUGGCGAUGAGGGAUGAACCUAACGUUGAGAUAAGGUGCCAAAAUUCACGCUCAUGAGACACCAGAAAAGGUGUUGGUUAGUAUAAACAGCCGGACUGUGGCCAUGGAAGUCGGCACCAGCUAAGGAGUGUGUAACAACUCACCAGCCGAAUUAACCAGCCCUGAAAAUUGAUGGCGCUAAGCGUGAUACCGAUACUCAACCAUUAUGGCAAAUAGAAGCUGUAAUGAGUAAGAGGGCGUGAAUACUGUGUAGAAGGCUUGGAUGUGAAUCUGGCUGGAACAGUAUUUAGUGCAGAUCUUGGUGGUAGUAGCAAAUAUUCAAAUGAGAACUUUGAAGACCGAAGUGGAGAAGGGUUCCAUGAGAACAGCAUUUGUUCAUGGGUUACUCGAUCCUAAGACAUAGGGAAAUUCCUUGUAAUACAUGUAUUCUUACGAAUACAUUGUCAAAAGGGAAUGAGGUUGAUAUUCCUCAAGCUGGAUGUGGUGGCAGCGUGGCAACACAAACAAGCUCGGAAACGCCGGUAUGUGCAACUGGAAGAGUUCUCUUUUCUUCUUAACAAUCUAUCUCCCUGAAUGGAUUAUCCAAAGCAAGGGAUAUAUGGUUGGCAGAGCAGUUCACCAUUGAAUUGUCAGUGAUGCUCAUAACGGCCCUUGAAAAUCUGAGUAAGGUAUCCAAACACACCAGGUCGUACCCAUAACCGCAUCAGGUCUCCAAGGUUAGCAGCCUCUGGUCGAUAGAAUAAUGCAGAUAAGGGAAGUCGGCAAAUUAGAUCCGUAACUUCGGGAAAAGGAUUGGCUCUGAGGAUUGGGUUACCGUGUCAAUUAUUGAAGGCGGAGCUGUGAAAGACUUAUCGCAAGGUAGGACUGGAUCGGCGAAACUGGAGGUGGUAGGCACGUACACCAGCAACAAUCGACUCAGAACUGAAGCGGACAAGGGGAAUCCGACUGUUUAAUAAAAACAUAGCUUUGUGAUGGAGUGAAAACUUGUUGACACAAAGUGAUUUCUGCCCAGUGCUUUGAAUGUGAAUAUGAAGUAAUUUGUAGAAGCUCAGGUAAACGGCGGGAGUAACUAUGACUCUCUUAAGGUAGCCAAAUGCCUCGUCAUCUAAUUAGUGACGCGCAUGAAUGGAUUAAUGAGAUUCCCACUGUCCCUAUCUGCCAUCUAGCGAACCCACAGCCAAGGGAACGGGCUUGGAAUAAUCAGCGGGGAAAGAAGACCCUGUUGAGCUUGACUCUAGUCCGACUUUGUGAAAUGACUUUCGAGAUAUAGCCUAAGUGGGAGCUAACGCGCCGCUGUAAAACCACUGCUCGCUUAGCCAUUUUACUUACUCCGUGAAGAAGUGGCCAAUUUAUUGGUUCUUAGAUUUAAACAUCUAUUUUAUAGGUGUGAACUUUGCGGAGGACAAGGUCAGGUGGGGAGUUUGACUGGGGCGGUACAUCUGUUAAACAAUAACGCAGGUGUCCUACGGUGAGCUCAAAGAGAACAGAAAUCUCUUGUAGACCAAAAGGGGAAAAGCUCACUUGAUUUUGAUUUUCAGUACCAAUACAAACCGCGAAAGCGUGGCCUAUCGAUCCUUUAACUUUACAAGUUUUAAGCUAGAGGUGUCAGAAAAGUUACCACAGGGAUAACUGGCUUGUGGCAGCCAAGCG
RNAcentral lists this ribosomal RNA (2157 nucleotides) under seawater metagenome. RNAcentral describes it as "eukaryotic LSU rRNA". It matches the Rfam family "Eukaryotic large subunit ribosomal RNA", at positions 645 to 2850 of the family's 3401-position model. The record is from RNAcentral.